CGCAGCACUUGCAUUGGAUGUAAAACUGUGCUAGACGAUGACAGUGCGGUUUGCAAACACUGUAAAAGCCAAGAGUCGAUGAUUUAUCAAAAAGAGAUUGCCAGUUUGAAUUAUUUGAAGGAGAAAUUCUCCCGACUUUGGACACAAUGUCAGGAAUGUCAAGGAAGCUUUCAUCACGAUGUUCUUUGUACGAGUCGAGAUUGUCCUAUAUUCUACAUGAGAAAAAAGGCUAAAAAAGACUUGGUAGAUCAGCAUAAA
Xenia sp. Carnegie-2017 is the source of this 258-nucleotide long non-coding RNA. RefSeq lists it as uncharacterized. NCBI's taxonomy places the organism in Eukaryota, Metazoa, Cnidaria, Anthozoa, Malacalcyonacea, Xeniidae. The transcript is spliced from 3 exons. The record is from RefSeq and is a predicted model, not a curated record.